UACGGAGGGUGCGAGCGUUGUUCGGAAUCACUGGGCGUAAAGGGCGUGUAGGCGGUCCGCUAAGUCUGAUGUGAAAGCCCGGGGCUCACCCCCGGAAGUGCAUUGGAAACUGGCGGACUCGAGUCCCGGAGAGGAGAGUGGAAUUCCUGGUGUAGCGGUGAAAUGCGCAGAUAUCGGGAAGAACACCCGUGGCGAAGGCGGCUCUCUGGGACGGUACUGACGCUGAGACGCGAAAGCGUGGGGAGCGAACAGG
RNAcentral lists this ribosomal RNA (253 nucleotides) under uncultured bacterium. Its description in RNAcentral is "partial 16S ribosomal RNA". It matches the Rfam family "Bacterial small subunit ribosomal RNA", at positions 524 to 776 of the family's 1533-position model. The record is from RNAcentral.